This 22-nucleotide non-coding RNA is filed under the name Rattus norvegicus (Norway rat). The record is from RNAcentral. Lineage: Eukaryota; Metazoa; Chordata; Mammalia; Rodentia; Muridae.
CUUGGUAUCUUACCUGCUUCCA